Molecule: ribosomal RNA, 443 nt
Filed under: uncultured bacterium
Lineage: Bacteria
Description: partial 16S ribosomal RNA
Rfam family: Bacterial small subunit ribosomal RNA
Source: RNAcentral
CCUACGGGAGGCUGCAGUGGGGGAUAUUGGUCAAUGGAGGAAACUCUGAACCAGCAACGCCGCGUGAAUGAUGAAGGUCUUCGGAUUGUAAAGUUCUUUUCUCAGGGAAGAAAGAAGUGACGGUACCUUACCAAUAAGCCUCGGCUAACUACGUGCCAGCAGCCGCGGUAAUACGUAGGGGGCAAGCGUUAUCCGGAAUGACUGGGCGUAAAGGGGGCGUAGGUGGUUUAGCAAGUCGGGAGCGUAACUCCGGGGCUCAACCCCGGAACUACUACCAAAACUGUCGGACUUGAGUGCAGGAGGGGUAAGUGGAAUUCCUAGUGUAGCGGUGGAAUGCGUAGAUAUUAGGAGGAACACCGGUGGCGAAGGCGAAUUGCUGGACUGUAACUGACACUGAGGCACGAAAGCGUUGGGAGCAAACAGGAUUAGAUACCCCGGUAGUC